This 792-nucleotide ribosomal RNA is filed under the name uncultured archaeon. RNAcentral's name for it is "bacterial SSU rRNA". It matches the Rfam family "Archaeal small subunit ribosomal RNA", at positions 85 to 879 of the family's 1478-position model. The record is from RNAcentral.
ACGGCUCAGUAACACGUGGAUAACCUGCCCAAGGGUCUGGGAUAACCCCGGGAAACUGGGGAUAAUACCGGAUAGAUCACCUAUGCUGGAAGGGCUUGGUGGUUUAAAGGUAACGCCUUUGGAUGGGUCUGCGGCGGAUUAGGUUGGCGCCGGUGUAAUGUACCGGCGUGCCUGUAAUCCGUACGGGUUGUGGGAGCAAGAGCCCGGAGAUGGAUUCUGAGACACGAAUCCAGGCCCUACGGGGCGCAGCAGGAGCGUAAACUCUACAAUGCAGGAGACUGCGAUAGGGGGACAUCGAGUGGCAUCCACCUUGGGUGCCUGUCCAACCGUCUAAAAAACGGUUGUUAGCAAGGGCCGGGUAAGACCGGUGCCAGCCGCCGCGGUAAUACCGGCGGCUCGAGUGGUGGCCGAUAUUAUUGAGUCUAAAGGGUCCGUAGCCGGCUUUGCAAGUCCCCUGGGAAAUCCAGCGGCUUAACCGUUGGGCUUUCAUGGGAUACUACAUUGCUUGGGACUGGGAGAGGUAGGAGGUACUCGGGGGGUAGGGGUGAAAUCCUGUAAUCCUCCGGGGACCACCGGUGGCGAAGGCGUCCUACCAGAACAGGUCCGACGGUGAGGGACGAAAGCUAGGGGCACGAACCGGAUUAGAUACCCGGGUAGUCCUAGCCGUAAACGAUGCCCGCUAGGUGUCACGACAGUCGUGAAUUGUCGUGGUGCCGUAGGGAAGCCGCGAAGCGGGCCACUUGGGAAGUACGACCGCAAGGUUGAAACUUAAAGGAAUUGGCGGGGGAGCAC